RNAcentral lists this ribosomal RNA (519 nucleotides) under Anobothrus gracilis. Its description in RNAcentral is "partial 16S ribosomal RNA". It matches the Rfam family "Bacterial large subunit ribosomal RNA", at positions 1817 to 2597 of the family's 2925-position model. Lineage: Eukaryota; Metazoa; Annelida; Polychaeta; Terebellida; Ampharetidae. The record is from RNAcentral.
UGCUUUAUGCGUAUAAAAUAUAAAGUUUAUUCUGCUCCAUGACUUACGAGUUAAAUAGCCGCGGUAUCCUGACUGUGCUAAGGUAGCGUGAUAAUUCGUCCUUUAAUUGUGGACUUGUACGAAUGAAUGCACGAAAAUUAAGCUGUCUCUAAAUUACUUGUAGAAAUUAAUAUUAAGGUGAAAAAGCUUUAAUAUUUAUAUAGGACAAAAAGACCCUAUAGAGCUUAGAUUUUAAAUUAUAAAUAGAAAAAUAAUCUUAUAUUUUUUAUUUAAAAAUUUAAAAACUUAACUGGGGCGGUUUAUGAAGUUUAUAAUCUUCUUAUUUCUAAAAAAAUUUAUAUGUUGAUUAAGUUAAUAGAUCCUUUUAAAGAUAACUAGAAUAGCUACCUUAGGGGUAACAGACUAAUUUUUUUUGAGAGUUCGUAUUGACAAAAAAGUUUGGCACAUCGAUGUUGGCUUAGGAUAUCCUAAAGAUAGUAGCAGUCUUUAUUGGUAGGUUUGUUCAACCUUUAAAAUCCU